UACGAGGGGGGCAAGCGUUGUUCGGAAUUAUUGGGCGUAAAGGGCGCGUAGGCGGUGCGGUAAGUCACCUGUGAAAACUCUGGGCUCAACUCAGAGCCUGCAGGCGAAACUGCCGGGCUUGAGUGUGGGAGAGGUGAGUGGAAUUUCCGGUGUAGCGGUGAAAUGCGUAGAUAUCGGAAGGAACACCUGUGGCGAAGGCGGGUUGCUGGGCUGAUACUGACGCUGAGGCGCGAAAGCCAGGGGAGCAAACGGG
RNAcentral lists this ribosomal RNA (253 nucleotides) under uncultured bacterium. RNAcentral describes it as "partial 16S ribosomal RNA". It matches the Rfam family "Bacterial small subunit ribosomal RNA", at positions 524 to 776 of the family's 1533-position model. The record is from RNAcentral.